CCGUCGCAUUUGAGUCGGCAAUUGUUUUUUUUCCUCGUUUGUUGUCAUUUUCGUUUUUAAUGGCGGCCUGCUGUCAUUUAAAAUGAAUAAAUAUAUUACUUUUAGAAAAGGGCCGACCUCUCGUGAAGAGAACGAUGGAAUUUAUAGAUUCGGCUGGGAAACUUGUCGAGAAAGCUUUUUUGCUUUUUUAGAUAAACUGACACGAGAGUUUGGUACCUUCUCAAACAGGCAUAAUUUCAAUCUAAUUAAUUGUAUCUGAGAUUUUUUUUACCAGAUUUUUUUACUAACAGGGAGCCCUCACUUUUUGCCGUAGCAAAACUGUUGGCAACUGGUCUUGUAAAUCUGAACAGGGUAGAAGUUCUUUAGCAUCCUGUAACAAAUCACCUGCUGGAAGUCAUCAUCCACACCCAUACUGCCCUCUUCGCUUUAUUGUUUUCGAUGAGUGACAAAACAGAGAAAAAAGAAUGCUGCGUGAAUGGAUUCUGUCACUGUCCAUGGUAUAGGCUGUUGUAUUCUCGUAAUAUAAUUGAGGUGUUAAUCGAACUGACCCCAUGGGAAUCUUUCAACCCCUAAUGGAUUCUUAAAAGGUUCGUCGUUUGCUCGUAAGCCAGUUUGAAUGGCAGGUGAAGGCCAGUGUCAAAAAAAAAAUAAUCGACUAACUUUUCGUUUUUAUGGCAUAGCAGUCUUGGUCCUGGUCUUGGUCUUGGUUGGUUUUUUUAUCAGAUAACGGAAAUCCUCAGAUUAAUUAUUUAUUACCUCCAUUGGCUGCUGCCAUCGAGGAUGCGUUCGUCAGAUUGGCUGGUGAUGGUGAUAUCAGCGUAUUUGUUAUCCUUGUUGUAGCUGGGAGUAGAGUAAGCUGGUGCAGGUUAGCUAGUAGUAGGGUACUUUGGUGCAGGGAAGUUUGGGGUAGUAGUGAUAUAUCAAAUCUAUAAAUAUCUAUAAAUAUCUCAACCCCUGUAUAUGCUGUACAUGCAAAGUAACAUGUGCAAAUUCGAGCGCGUGUCCGUCCUGGUGUCGAAGACGUUUCAUCAUUUUUAUGUAUAGCUCGGGACAAAGAUCGGCAUUAACUCACGAUUUCUUCAUGUUGAUUUAUUCAUAUCAGCUCCUCGCGUAUUUCAUUCUUUUUUCAUAUUUGAAUUGGUUAAACAUAGCGGUAAUCUCCUCCUAUAAACCACUUUAAACGUUUAGCAUUAAUUGAUGUUUUAAAGUUGAUUUUUUUGGGCGUUAUUGGCUAACAUCGUUUUCUUUUGUUGUUGUGGCUCUCCCGCAUCUAUUCGGCCGAUCCAAACUAAUACACAACGCCAGUUUUAUUUCGAAAGUGACGAGACCGAUGUGCCUUGUGCCACAUUUCACUCAACUUUUCUUUCUGGUUUUUCCAGCUGCGAUAACUAUAUAAUAGAGUCUGUGAUUACUUAAUGCGUCCGCGUUCUAUAUACCACAGCCGUUGGGCCGGUAUUCGUCCAGCUCAACAUCCAUUUCAAUUACAGCCAACAGGUGUGCGCCAUUAUCGAUUUUUCAUUAUACACUUCAUUAACAGAUUUAUUUGUGUUUCUAUACACGCUCCAAGUUGGGUUAACCUAAAUAAAAAAUGUCAUCGUA
RNAcentral lists this long non-coding RNA (1599 nucleotides) under Daphnia magna. RNAcentral describes it as "uncharacterized LOC123467717, transcript variant X1". The record is from RNAcentral. Lineage: Eukaryota; Metazoa; Arthropoda; Branchiopoda; Diplostraca; Daphniidae.